This 524-nucleotide ribosomal RNA is filed under the name uncultured soil bacterium. RNAcentral describes it as "bacterial SSU rRNA". It matches the Rfam family "Bacterial small subunit ribosomal RNA", at positions 1 to 526 of the family's 1533-position model. The record is from RNAcentral.
AGGAGUUUGAUCCUGGCUCANAUUGAACGCUGGCGGCAUGCCUUACACAUGCAAGUCGAACGGCAGCACGGGAGCAAUCCUGGUGGCGAGUGGCGAACGGGUGAGUAAUAUAUCGGAACGUGCCCAGUCGUGGGGGAUAACGCAGCGAAAGCUGUGCUAAUACCGCAUACGAUCUACGGAUGAAAGCGGGGGAUCGCAAGACCUCGCGCGAUUGGAGCGGCCGAUAUCAGAUUAGCUAGUUGGUGGGGUAAAAGCCCACCAAGGCGACGAUCUGUAGCUGGUCUGAGAGGACGACCAGCCACACUGGAACUGAGACACGGUCCAGACUCCUACGGGAGGCAGCAGUGGGGAAUUUUGGACAAUGGGCGCAAGCCUGAUCCAGCAAUGCCGCGUGCAGGAUGAAGGCCUUCGGGUUGUAAACUGCUUUUGUACGGAACGAAACGGUCUGCCCUAAUACGGCGGGCUAAUGACGGUACCGUAAGAAUAAGCACCGGCUAACUACGUGCCAGCAGCCGCGGUAAUAC